RNAcentral lists this ribosomal RNA (279 nucleotides) under uncultured bacterium. RNAcentral's name for it is "partial 16S ribosomal RNA". It matches the Rfam family "Bacterial small subunit ribosomal RNA", at positions 506 to 784 of the family's 1533-position model. The record is from RNAcentral.
UGCCAGCCGCCGCGGUAAUACGAAGGGACCUAGCGUAGUUCGGAAUUACUGGGCGUAAAGGGUCUGUAGGUUGUUGGUUAAGUCUAUGGUCAAAUUCCGAAGCUCAACUUCGGGCCGGCACUAGAAACUAAUCAACUUGAGUACGUUAGAGGCAGGGGGAAUUCCCAGUGUAGCGGUGAAAUGCGUAGAUAUUGGGAGGAACAUCAAUGGCGAAGGCACCCUGCUAGGCCGAUACUGACACUGAAAGACGAAAGCUAGGGGAGCAAAUGGGAUUAGAUA